CCUACGGGUGGCAGCAGUCGAGAAUCAUUCACAAUGGGGGAAACUCUGAUGGUGCGACGCCGCGUGGGGGAAUGAAGGUCUUCGGAUUGUAAACUCCUGUUAUGUGGGAGUAAAUUAAAAAGAUAGUACCACAAGAGGAAGAGACGGUUAACUCUGUGCGAGUAGCCGCGGUAAUACAGAGGACUCAAGCGUUAUUCGGCAUCACUGGGCGUAAGGGGUGCGGAGGCUGUUGCGUAAGUCAGGUGUGAAAGGGGGGGGCUCAACCCGAGAACGGCAUUGGUUACGGGGAGACUUGGGUAAGGCAGAGGUAGCCGGAAUUCGCGGUGUCGCGGUGAAAUGCGUAGAUAUCAGGAGGAACAC
RNAcentral lists this ribosomal RNA (360 nucleotides) under uncultured bacterium. Its description in RNAcentral is "partial 16S ribosomal RNA". It matches the Rfam family "Bacterial small subunit ribosomal RNA", at positions 338 to 709 of the family's 1533-position model. The record is from RNAcentral.